GAUGAAGAACGUAGCGAAAUGCGAUAAGUAAUGUGAAUUGCAGAAUUCAGUGAAUCAUCGAAUCUUUGAACGCACAUUGCGCCCCUUGGUAUUCCGGGGGGCAUGCCUGUUCGAGCGUCAUUUCAACCCCUCAAGCUCGGCUUGGUGUUGGGCUGCGCCAGCGUUGCUGGCGGGCCUUAAAAUCAGUGGCGGUGCCGUUUGGGCUCCAAGCGUAGUAGCAUCUCUCGCUCUGGAGACCCGGCGGUUGCUUGCCAGACAAUCACCAAAAAAACAAAGGUUUGACCUCGGAUCAGGUAGGGAUACCCGCUGAACUUAAGCAUAUCAAUAAGCGGAGGA
This 336-nucleotide unclassified non-coding RNA is filed under the name soil metagenome. RNAcentral's name for it is "partial contains 5.8S ribosomal RNA, internal transcribed spacer 2, and large subunit ribosomal RNA". The stretch from base 1 to 120 matches the Rfam family "5.8S ribosomal RNA", at positions 35 to 154 of the family's 154-position model. The record is from RNAcentral.